UUGCAGUGAGCCAAGAUCACGCCAUUGCACUCCAGCCUGGGCAACAAGAACGAAACUCCGUCUCAAAAAAAAAAAAAAAAAAAAAAAAAAAUAGUGUUCAGCAAGGUUGAAGCAUAAAAGGUUAAUAGCCAGAAUCAUUUAUCAAUUGUAUUUCUAUACAUCUACAAGACACAAUCUGAAAAUGAAAUUAGAGAAACAAUUUCACUGGGCAACAAGAGCAAAACUUCGUCUCAAAAUAAUAAUAAUAAUAAUAAUAAUAAUAAUCUACAAUGUCAUUUCCCAUCCAAGCUUGACUUCUACCUUUACUUUCUGAUAUGGUUUUGCCAUGUCCCCACCCAAAUCUCAUCAUGAAUUAUAAUCCCCAUAAUCCUGAUGUGUCGAGGGAGGGGCCUAGGGGGAGGUGAUUGGAUCAUGGGGGCAGUUAUCCUCAUGCUGUUCUUGUGAUAUUCAGUAAGUCCUCAUGAGAUCUUAUAGGGUUUUGUUUUGUUUUUUGGGAUGGAGUCUUGCUCUGUUGUCCAGGCAGGAGUGCCAUGGCAUGAUCUUGGCUCACUGCAGUCUCUGCCUCUUGAGUUCCAUUGAUUCUCCUGCCUCAGCCUCCUGAGUAGCUGGGAUUACAGGCAUGCACCACCACACCCAGCUAAUUUUUGUAUUUUUAGUAGAGACAGGAUUUCACUACAUUAGCUAGGCUGGUCUCAAACUCCUGACCUCAGUUGAUCCACCUGCCUUGGCCUCCCAAAGUACUAGGGUUACAAGUGUGAGCCACCGUGCCCAGCUGAGAUCUGAUGGUUUUAUACAUGUUUGACAGUUGCUCCUUCACAUGUUCCCACUCUCUGUGCGGCCACCAUGUAAGUCGGACCUGCCCUUCUGCCAUGAUUGUAAGUUUCCUGAAGGACUUCCCCCUCUGCCAUGAUUGUUAAGUUUCCUGAGGCCUCCCCAGCCAUGUGAAACUGAGUCAAUUAAACCUCUUUCCUUUAAAAAUUACCCAACCUCAGGUGUUUCUUUAUAUCAGUGUGAAAACAGACUGCUAUACUUUCUGAUACUCAUGCUUAAGCAAUUGGGGAAUUCAGACUACCUGGGAUCAAACUAUGGCCCCACCCUUAGCAGUCAUGUGACCUUGGGGAGGUUACUUACCUUCUCCAUCUCAACAACUUCUGUAAAAUCUGUAACAUGAGAUUGUUUCUGAGGGUUAAAUGAGCAUAGCACAGUGGGGACACUGUCAGGCACACACUACUUGCCAGAUGUCGAGUAUUCAUCUUUAUUGAAAUAGGACUGUGGUAAGCCACUUUAUGGCUCUCGAUUUUGUAUGAGAAAAUCAUGCUUAGUGCCUUGUUAGUAAAAGAAAGAAAACCUGAAAGUCCCUGCCAUGGAAGGAAGAAAUAGCGGGGAGAAAAGGGAGUUGGUAAGUUUCAGCAUUUCAGAGCUUGGAGGUGCCAGUUAGGUUUCUAUUUUAUGGAGAAGGAGGUGGAGGCAGGAUGGGUCCUAAGGUGUCAUUCAAAACACACAGCCAUAACUCUUUAUUGAGAGUAGAGCUAGGGCCCCAGGGAUUGCUGUGGUCAAGUUGCGGACAAAAAUGACCACUCGUUGGAAGACAGGAGAGGAGUGUUUAGUUACAAAAGCAGUCAACAAUUCAGGUGUAUCUAUAUUCAGACAGCAAAUAAAAGUUGUUCAACUUGGUUGCUAAUGGGACCCACUCUACUGAGGCUUUGUAUAGAACUCAUAGAGGAAGCUGGCUUCAAGGAAUGAACUACCCUGUGCUUUUCUUAGGACUAAAAUCUCAGGAAGCUGGUGAUGAAUGAAAACCUUAGUCCCACUGGCACUGCACGAGGGGCCAGGAGAGCAGCAGCAUCAUAAGCCACAGGGUGGGGCAGCCAAGGC
Molecule: long non-coding RNA, 1875 nt
Filed under: Homo sapiens (human)
Lineage: Eukaryota; Metazoa; Chordata; Mammalia; Primates; Hominidae
Description: HSALNT0162188
Source: RNAcentral